UACGAAGGGGGGCUAGCGUUGUUCGGAAUCACUGGGCGUAAAGCGCACGUAGGCGGACUCUUAAGUCGGGGGUGAAAUCCUGGAGCUCAACUCCAGAACUGCCCUCGAUACUGAGAGUCUUGAGUCCGGGAGAGGUGAGUGGAACUGCGAGUGUAGAGGUGAAAUUCGUAGAUAUUCGCAAGAACACCAGUGGCGAAGGCGGCUCACUGGCCCGGUACUGACGCUGAGGUGCGAAAGCGUGGGGAGCAAACAGG
This 254-nucleotide ribosomal RNA is filed under the name uncultured bacterium. RNAcentral describes it as "partial 16S ribosomal RNA". It matches the Rfam family "Bacterial small subunit ribosomal RNA", at positions 524 to 776 of the family's 1533-position model. The record is from RNAcentral.